This is a non-coding RNA of Paramuricea clavata, 1137 nucleotides long. The record is from the annotation of a GenBank genome assembly. NCBI's taxonomy places the organism in Eukaryota, Metazoa, Cnidaria, Anthozoa, Malacalcyonacea, Plexauridae.
AAGAACCUUUACGAGUAAAUUACACCAAGUACUUCAUAUAUUUUUUGUGGAUUUGCGGAUUUUUUUGAGGAUUUUGAAGGAUUUCUGUGGAUUUUUGAAGGAUUUCUGUGGUUUUUAAAGGAUUUUUCGGAUUUUGAUGGAUUCAUCGGAUUUUGAGGAUUUCAUGGAUUUUUUCUGGAUUUUUCCCGGAUUUUUUGACGAAGUGUACGGGAUUUUUGGAGUGAAUUGCCCCGAGGGGCAUUUCACUCAAAAAAAGCGUACGGGAUUUUCGGAUUUUUAAAAAUCCGCGGAUUUUUUAGCGGAUUUUUCCCGGAUUUUUUAGCGGAUUUUUGAAGAGAAAAUUUGCUGGAUUUUCGGGAUUUGUUCGGAUUUUCCGGAUUUGUUCGGAUUUUUUCUGGAUUUUUGAAAAUCUGUUGGAUUUUCCGGAUUUGUUUGGAUUUUCCGGAUUUGUUUGGAUUUUCCGGAUUUGUUCGGAUUUUUUCUGGAUUUUUUUUUUAAAUUAUAGAGUUAUAGAGCUAGGUAACGUUUUGAACAAAUAAUCUUAAGUUGUACGAUGUCAACGUUAUGCCAGGACGUCAGGGUCGAGCAGAGGACUGGGACUAGGACCACAGCCUUCUGAAACUAUUAACGAAGGCUGGGCAUGCAGUCUGACUUUGUUUAAAAUUCAAACAAGUUCAUUAUUCUUUCAAAAGCAGUAAAAGACAAUGGUGAAUAACUUUUGGUUUUGUAAUUAUAUUUUACAACAUAACGUCAUUGUAACAAGAACACAUAUUUAGUAGUAAUAGGCUAAAAAAACUUAGCGUAUACUCGAGCGUAUAAAUGGAAAUGUAGAGUGGUCCAAUAAUUACGAAAUAUAAUGACAGCGAUCACGGUAAGCAUUUAGCUUUCGCUGUCCGCCAUUUUGAACGUGGCAAAGAACCUUUACGAGUAAAUUACACCAAGUACUUCAUAUAUUUUUUGUGGAUUUGCGGAUUUUUUAAGGAUUUUGAAGGAUUUCUGUGGAUUUUUGAAGGAUUUCUGUGGUUUUUAAAGGAUUUUUUGGAUUUUGAUGGAUUCAACGGAUUUUGAGGAUUUCAUGGAUUUUUUCUGGAUUUUUUCCGGAUUUUUUGACGAAGUGUACGGGAUUUUUGGAGUGAA